This 470-nucleotide ribosomal RNA is filed under the name uncultured bacterium. RNAcentral's name for it is "bacterial SSU rRNA". It matches the Rfam family "Bacterial small subunit ribosomal RNA", at positions 329 to 793 of the family's 1533-position model. The record is from RNAcentral.
UUACGCACUCCUACGGGAGGCAGCAGUGGGGAAUAUUGCACAAUGGGCGCAAGCCUGAUGCAGCCAUGCCGCGUGUAUGAAGAAGGCCUUCGGGUGUAAAGUACUUUCAGCAGUGAGGAAGGUGGGUAUGUUAAUAGCAUACUCAUUUGACGUUAGCUGCAGAAGAAGCACCGGCUAACUCCGUGCCAGCAGCCGCGGUAAUACGGAGGGUGCGAGCGUUAAUCGGAAUUACUGGGCGUAAAGCGCAUGCAGGUGGUUUGUUAAGUCAGAUGUGAAAGCCCGGGGCUCAACCUCGGAAUUGCAUUUGAAACUGGCAAACUAGAGUACUGUAGAGGGGGUAGAAUUUCAGGUGUAGCGGUGAAAUGCGUAGAGAUCUGAAGGAAUACCGGUGGCGAAGGCGGCCCCCUGGACAGAUACUGACACUCAGAUGCGAAAGCGUGGGGAGCAAACAGGAUUAGAUACCCUGGUAG